GACGAACGCUGGCGGCGUGCUUAACACAUGCAAGUCGAGCGGUAAGGCCCUUUCGGGGGUACACGAGCGGCGAACGGGUGAGUAACACGUGGGCGACCUGCCCUUAGCUCUGGGAUAAGCCUGGGAAACUGGGUCUAAUACCGGAUAUGACUCCAUGACGCAUGUUGUGGGGUGGAAAGCCUUGUGCGGCUAGGGAUGGGCCCGCGGCCUAUCAGCUUGUUGGUGGGGUGAUGGCCUACCAAGGCGACGACGGGUAGCCGGCCUGAGAGGGCGACCGGCCACACUGGGACUGAGACACGGCCCAGACUCCUACGGGAGGCAGCAGUGGGGAAUCUUGCGCAAUGGGCGAAAGCCUGACGCAGCGACGCCGCGUGAGGGAUGACGGCCU
Molecule: ribosomal RNA, 388 nt
Filed under: uncultured bacterium
Lineage: Bacteria
Description: bacterial SSU rRNA
Rfam family: Bacterial small subunit ribosomal RNA
Source: RNAcentral